This 18298-nucleotide long non-coding RNA is filed under the name Capsicum annuum. RNAcentral describes it as "long non-coding RNA (CANN_LNC000351)". Lineage: Eukaryota; Viridiplantae; Streptophyta; Magnoliopsida; Solanales; Solanaceae. The record is from RNAcentral.
UUGAAUAUUAUUGUAUCGUAAAUAUGAAUCAUUACGUUAUGUUUAAUAUGCAACUUUAUUGACUACUUUUCAAUAAUUUAUUAAAAUCAUAAUAAUCAUUAUAUAACAUAUACAAAAAAAUUAGAAUAACAAAAAAAAAUAUUAAAUUUCUCGCUUUUAAAUAAUAUAAUGAACUAGGCCUUAUAUUUUUAUAAUAUAGUUCAUUCUAAACAAAAUUGAUAUAUUUUCGUCAUAGAUUGUCAUUUAUUAUUUUUACUUCACGUUAAUAAAUUUUAAUUAAAAGAAAAAAAAAUAUUAGAAUAUCUGUAACAAUUAAAAAUGAUAUUGUACAUAGAAAAUAAAUAAUAAUUUUUUUCUUGAUGGUUGGUUUGUAGUUAUAAGAGAUAUUUGUGUAAAAAUUUAAAGAUUGAAAUUAUAUGUAAUAAUAAUAAAAGUUGAAAUGAAAGUGGAAAAUUGUAAAAACAACAAAAAAGUUGUAUUCACUUUUUGAAAUCCAACUCCAAAAUAAUUUUUUGACUUUUCAGGAUCAAACACCAUAAUUUUCAAAAAAGUAAAAAGUUUCAGAAAAAAAAAUUAUGGCCAAACGGGCCCUAAGUAAAAUGCCAAACCAAGAAAAUAGCAUAGUAAGUAAAAUGCCAAAAUAAUCACGAGUUUGUUAGGAAAUAUGUACCGUCAACUUGACAACUCAACAAAGUAACAAUAAUUACUGAUAAAAGUAAAGCAAUAAUAAUAUUCAUGGUGAUAAAAUACACAUAAUCAACAAUAAUAACUACACGAAUCAAAGUGACUUCACCGGAGUCAGCUUUUCCAACCAAUUCAGUCCAAAACAAUCAUUUUAGAAAAAAAAAAUAAUGUAAGAAUAGAUAGAACACUCAAAUGCUAAACAAACCCAAAAGGAUUCACCGAAAAUCGAAACAAAGGAGAGCUGACCGGCGUUGCUUCAACGGAGUUACACCGGAGCAACGCCGAAAAUACAAAACCCGGUCAGAUCUGAAAAUGAGCACAUGAAAAAUAAAACUUUCCAGCCAGAUCUGACCAAAUUAUCGGCGGACAGUGCUGGAGUUGUGUGUCGUAGAUCACUGGUGGCUAGAUCCGGCGAAGGCGACGAAGGGGAAAAGGGAAAAGGGGGCGGCGCGGCUACGUUGGCCAGUCGCCGGUGACGGGAAAAGGAGAAAAGGGGAAGGGAGGCGGUGGCUGGUGCCUUGGUGGUCGCUGGAGGAAAACUCACCAGCCAUGGUGAUGGGGCGGCAGUGAGUUUGGGGGAAGAGACAGAGAGAAAGAAGGAGGAGCGACUUUGUUUUGUCUUUUUUGUUAGUGUGUGUGUUUUAGAAGUGUGGAUGUGUAAACAUUUAAAAAUAAAUAAAUAAUUUAUCAAAUUUAUUUUUUCUUUAAUAUAUUCUUAAAUUAGAGAAAGUAGAUGUGGGAAAAUAAAUAAGUGGAGAAAAUAGAAAAAGAAAAUUAAAUUAAUAUUAUUUGUGUUAAUGUGACACGAUAUCAAAUUAUUAUUGUACUGUGUAUUGAAAUAAUUAAUUUAACUCAGCUUUUGUAGGUCGUAUUAAAUAACAUAUAAAAUAAUGAAUGCCAAUAUAUAAAUACAAAAAAAUAAUAAUAUCAAUAAUAAAAAAAAUAUAAUUAUCUUAAAAAAAUAUAUUAUGUUAUAAAUAAUUAAAAUUAUACUACGCCAUAAAGAAUUGUAGUGCUAUGUUGUAUACGUAUGCAAAGGACUGUGCAAAAUAUUAAAAUAAUAAAUUGAUAAAAAAUUUAAAAUUUACGAAAUUAAAGAUAAUUAUCAAUAAAUUAAUUUAAAAUUUACGAAAUUAAAGAUAAUUAUCAAUAAAUUAUGUAAAAUUAAAAUAUGACAAUAAAUGAGUAAAAAAAUUCUAAAAUAAUGAUGAUUAUCAACAAUUUAUUAACAAUUGCAAAAAUAUGUAAAAAAAAAAUUGUACAUUGUGCCAUUUAACGAUCAGGGAGCUCUAAACGCGUUAAUUUUAAAUAUGGAGAGCCAAAAUUGAAUGUUAACAAAUACAACCGUAAAAAUUCAGUACACAUUGCAUAUGUAUUUAUUUAAAUACAACUGUAUAUGCAGAAUAUGUAUUUAACACAUCAUGUGUUAUACAUAUUAUCAAAUGCAUAUGUAUAUAUGAAUAUACAUAUUAGCAUUUAGAAAAAUACAUAUUACCAAAUUAAAAAAGACACUAUUUUUUAUAUAUGUAUAUCUUAAUUCAUAAAAUACAUAUGUUGUAUAUGUAUUCAACAUAACAAAUUAUUUUUUAAAAUUAUUAUACCUUGAUUUCAGUUAUUGCAUUCAUUAUCUGAUCACACCUUGAUGAUACUAGGCCACGGAUGAAUUUCAUCUCUUGAUAAACCUGAUUCAAAAUAAAUAAAUUAUAAAUGAAUAAAAUAAUUCAAAUCAUAAACACAAAUUACCUCAUUGCGAAACUUUUCAAACACUUUCUUCGAAACAACAUUAUCUUCAUCUCCAGAACUGAACGAAGAGGAAUCAGGUGACUAAAUCGGAAUAGAUUUUUUGCUUGCUGAUCAGUUUAUGUCCUUCCUCUUUGAAUCUACUUUAUCUUUUGAUUGAAUCGGCAUAAAAAUUGGAGUCCAGACAGAAAGCUUCUUUGCAACACGAGGUGGAGGGGUCCUUUUUGGUGUCUGCUAAUCCAAACCUUUAUGUUGUUGCUUCAACUUUUUCUUGACAGGUGAAGUGGAUGAAUCACCAUGAUGUUUUUUUUUUGGUGAUUGAAUGUUUUUGUGGAUGUAGUGGAUCCUACAAAUCAUCAUCCGAAUUAACCUCAUCAUCUUUAUGACUUACACUUGCAGAAACAACUUUCUUGGGUAUCGAAAAGGAUGAAAUCUCCUUUCGUGUUGGCUCAAUAUUCUUAAAAGAAACCUACAAUUUAUAUUACAUAAAACUAAAAAGUAUUUUAGAUGAUAACACCAGUGAUAGUAGGAACAUAAAUCACUGACAUUACAAAAUAAUUAACCUUUACAUAAAUGCAUAAACAUUGACAAAUUAUAUUUUGAAUAAACAUAUACAAUAACAUUAAAUAUAUUUAUAAAUAAUCAACAUAAAGAACAAAAUAUAUAAAGAAAACUAACUUUGACAUCUGCAUCAUUAAACAUGCUUUUCAUAAGAGAUUCGUAUUGUGGACAAGGAGCAUUUGUUUUUCAAUUCAAAUGACGGGGAAUUUGAUUGUCCGCCUUUGAAGAAACAUUACGAGGAACAGUGGAACAACACUCGUACAAACAAAUUUGAAUGGCCAAAGGCACUCCAUGUAGCAUAUAAAACUUUUUUUUCGAUUUGAGCUUUUUAUUCAAGCUUUUGGCUAAUUCCUCGAAUGCAACAGACCCCCAAGGAUAAUCACUGUAGCGACCACUCGCAACCAAAUUAAAAUGUAGCCGUGGAAUAACUACAGUAUCAACAGUAGACAACAAAAAUGCUUGAAUAAAAUAGAAAUUAGCAAACUUCAAGGCAUCUUUAUCAUUGUCUUUCCCCCAAUUUCUUUCAGAAAAAGCAGCAAAUAAUUCUCUUUUCUGAAUAUACUUGGCACCACCAAAAUAUUAUUCAAUAAUUCUAUUCAGAAGAUCCCCAUCAAACACAAAAUCGUCCUUGUUUGAAACACAAUUCAAACCAGUAACCACAACAAACUCUCUAGGACUGAAAUGAAGAUUUGUUUCUUUCACACGAAUUACUAUGACAUUUGAAGUACUUUUCUUAGUCUCAAGCGACAUAAUACAUCUUCCAAACUCCGCUUGGACCACACAAAUUAUUUUCUUCAUGAAGACAAUAAAUAUGUUAUUAUUACAAAAGAUCUUGUACUGAUUCUUCGUUAAAAUUGACUUAAUACGAUCUUUAAUGUCAUUGACCGUAUGACAUCCUAUAUGUGGAGCAAAUUUAGCAAUACUAUUGUUGUGUAUAUCUGAUCACGCAAAAUCUAUACACCAUAAAAUUACAAUUAUAUGUUAAAACAGUGACAUAUAUGUAUUUAUGAAAUACAUCUUAAAGUUACAUUAUCCCUACAUUAUAUACAAAAAACUAUCUUAUAUAUUUUGUGAAUAUAUGACUGAUCCAUAUUUAAGUUAUCAAACUUUAAAUUGCAAACAUCGACAUCGUCUAAUGAAUAACAAAUACAACUGAGAAAAAAAAUAUAAAUAUUAGCAAAAACAAAUAAAAAAUACAAAUCUAACAUGUAACAAAUACAUUUCACAUGAUUUCAAGCAAACUAAAUACAUAUGUAUUUUAUUUAUACACAACUAUGACAAAAAUCAUGCUUAUCAAGAAGAAAGAAGUACAUGUCUUUGUCUAAAUCAAAUGAAUAACAAAUACAACUUAAAAUCAAAUACAAAUCUUAGCAGUAAACAAACCAAAAACAUAUCUAAAAUGUAGCAUAUAUAUACUUUACAUGUCAAAAUAGUGCCACUUAUGUAUUUACAGAAUACAUAUUAUACUAAUAUUAAAACAUAUACAUAUGUAUUUUAUGAAUACAAUAUGUAUUUUAAGUAACCAGAAUAUAAUACAACUGAACAUCAAAUACAAAUCUUAUCAGUGACAAAUACAAAUAUCUUAAAUACAAAUACAUAUUCAAUAUAUACAAAAUACAUAAAAUAUACAAUUUAUAUCUAUAAUCAACCUUUGCACAAAAUACAAAUUCUUACAUAUAACAGAUAUAAAAUAAAUACAAUUAGGGACUACAAUUCUAUAUCUUAACAACACAAUAGAGACUAGAAUUUUAAAUCUUUAAGAAACAGAAAAAUAAAUACACACCUAAUAAGUUGUAUAUAUAAAAUACAUCUAUGAACAUGUUUUCAAGAAAAUAUAAAAUUUUACAAAUAGAAUCAUACCUCCUCCAUUUACUCUUUUUCAGAUUCAAAAUCAGAUGAAACAGGACUUGAAAUUUUACUAGAUUCACCUUUUUCAUCAGGCUUUCUCUUUUUCAUAGAUUUUUAAUUUUUUUUUGGUUUUGGGGAUGAAGGUUUUCUCAAACCUUUCUGUUUUAUUUUUUUCACAAUAUUUUUUGAAUUAUUACGGUGCUUCAAUCUCGCUUCUUCACUGCUAACACCUCCCUUAGGUUGAAUAUUAAUAGAACCCAAAUUAAAAUCUUCAUCUUGAGUUAACCCAAGACUAAACGAUGGUAGUUCAUCGGAAACUAAAUCCAUCAGUUGAAUACCCCUAACUGAACUACUAUGAUUUGCAUGUUGUGCCAUUAUAUCAGAAAUUCAAAGAUUUCAACACACACUAAAAAAAAAAGAUCAAACCCUAACAGACCAAAUAGGAGAAAAAGAAUGAAAAAUUUGAAAAAAAAAUCGACAGUAAAAUAUAUAAAAGAGUUUAUAUGAAAAAUAUAACAUGCAUUAACUGAAAAAAAUAACUUACCUUAAUAGUUGGAUGCAAUAUUUAUCAAGAUUGAGGAGAGAAAAAAUUGAAAUUUGAAAAAAAAAAAAGAUUGGAGGAAAAUGAAAUUGGUAUAUGGCGUGAAAAAAGGAGAAGGUAAAAAAAUGAGUUAAAGUCACGCGCUUUUCCCUAAAGAAGAUAAAAUAUUGCUAGUUUUGUUAUUAGUUGUAAUUUUAAAAAACUAUUGCUAUUAAUUGUAAUUAAUGUCUUAAGGCUGCUAGUUUAUGUAAUUUUUCGUAAUAAUAAUUAGCUCAAGUUCGCACUUGGCUAGCAAAGUGUUCAUACUGAACCUAAUUAGCAUUUUUGGCGAUGCAAAGUUGAUAUUAUAAAUAAAGCAUAUAUACAACCUCACUAUAUUUAUAACUAAUUGAAAGGAAUAAGUAUUGCUGCCCCAUUAAUGAUUUAAAAAUAAGUAUUCCUAAAAAUUAAUAGAUAUCAAUCAAAAAAUAAUCAUUUGAAUAAUUUCUUAACCCAUGCACACAAUCUUCAGUAUAAAUUAAAGAAUGAUGGAUAAUCAUGAUCACUAAUGAUUUUUUCCUUAAAUAAAUGUAACAUAAUUAUGAAUUAAAUCGAAUUUCGUGGUUAUAUAUGACUACUUUUGAGAAUAUGAAAAUUAAGACAAAAUUGUGACGAAGAAAAAAUAUUUAAUUAGCAUGAUUUUUAUAAAAAUUGGAAAAAGCUAUGUAAAAUUCUAUUUAUUUGGGAAAGUUUUUUUCCAGUUUCUUUUGGACUUUGAAAAUAAGAUUUUUUUUUUCAAGCUUAUUUUAGUUGGGAAAGGUUUUUCUUUUUUUUGUCAAUUUUUAUUUUAGGAAAGUUUUUUAUUUUUUAUUAUAUUUUAUAUUUAAUAUUAUUAAAAUAAAAGAAAAAUAGUGAAAAUACAAUUUUAUCUAAAGUGGAAUCUUUAAAUGAAGGAUAAAAAGUUCAAAUCACUUUUGUAAGAGUUUUCACACUUUUAAUAUAUUAUAAAUUAUAGAUAUAGAUAAUAAAAUUAUUAAUUUCCAAAAAAAAAAAGAAUUUAUUAAAAAAAUAAAGUUAGAGGUUAGAUAUAAGAGGUUUUAGUAAUUAGCAGUUCUCUCUCUUUCACAGGUGGGUUCAUUUGAAACUUAGAAGUAGAGGUGUAUAUGGGUUGGGUUGGUUUUGUUUUAAUUAAAAAAAAAAUUAAAUCAAUCAUGUCAGUUUAUUAAAACUAUAAACCAAAUCAAACCAACAUAAAAUUAAUUUUUUCGGUUAAGGUUUUAGUCGGGUUUUUGGGUUUUAUUGACUUUUUUUUAUUUUUUUUUGAGUUUUUUUUUAUAAUCUUUAGUUUUUACAAUUAUAUUAUGAUCGAUGACUAGAUCAAAUAUGUUUUCACUCAUGUGCUAAUGAAAAAUCAUAAUUAUGAAAAAAUGAGGAGUGAAAAACUCUCUUGAAACUAAAAAGUGAGAAGAAGAGUGAAAAGUUUAGGUUUUAAGAUUAUGUUGGGUUUUCGACCAUUUAAUUAACAAUUAAUGGACAAAUAUUACAACUUAAAGACCCAAAUCUAAAUAUAUAUAGGGAAAAAUUUAGAAAAAACAUACUUAUCCCCUGAAUUAUGAGUUUCAUAGCAACAGUUUCAUAAUUACAUUAUAUAGCAUGUUGUAUUUUGUAUUUUUGCAAACUAUUGCUAUAAAAAUACAAAUACAUAUGAUUUUUACUGCUCUUAUGAUGAUAUAUAUUUUGUAUUUUUGCAAACUGUUGCUACAAAAAUACAAAUACAUAUGUUACAAAAUGUAAUUUGAUAAAAGUGUUGCUAUUUUUUGUAAUUUAAUACUUAAGUAUGCUACUUUAUGGGCAAAAUUCAGAAAUAAUAUACUUAUUCCCUUAAUUAUGAGUUUUAUAGCAACAGUUUCAUAAUUACAUAAUAUAGCAAAUUGUAUUUUGUAUUUUUGCAAACUGUUGCUACAAAAAUACAAAUACAUACAAAUACAUAUGCUACAAAAUGUAAUUUGAUAAAAGUGUUGUUAUUUUUUAUAAUUUCAUACUUAAGUAUACUAUUUUAUGUAUUUUAUAUAUCUACAUCUACUUUCAAAUUAUUGAAAAUUACUAAAACUAGUUGAAAAAAUAUUUAAAAAUUAGAUUAUAAUUAAUAUUUUAUGUAUAAAAAAGUUUGAAUAUUAUAUAUAUAUAUAUAUUAUGUCGGUUUGAUUCGGGUUCGGUUUGAAUCCAUUAUCACCAUUCCAUGAAUCGUCCUGAUGGAAGAAAAUAUCUCAUGUACAAAGAGAACGUAUUCUACGCUACGGAGUUGAAGGAAGAUAGAAAAUCUCCCUUCUUUAGAAAUUUCGAUCAAUUCAACGAUAAUUGCCCCGAUUUUUUCUGUUUAAUACAGUUUGAUUUGCUCAUGGAAAGAUGUACAUCAUAUUGCAAUUUCAAUACAAGAGAAGUAAGAUUUCUUCUGUGCCCGAAAGAAUUUGUUAUGAGAGCUUAAUUAGUAUAGUAGUGGCCGAGUAUGUUCAAUUGGUUUUGAACCAAAAGAAAAGAAAUAUAAGCUCUGGUUGACAUUAUUUCUCUCUGGGAUGCACAACAUAUUGGGUAUUCACAUUAGAUAAGGCUUCUAGCAAAAACAUGCACUUGUGGAUCUUGGGAAAGGCUCAAAAUGAGGAUUGGGAGAGUCACAUCAUUGACUUUCCUUCACAAUGGGAAAUCUGUGCUAGACCAGAAUUCUUUUUGUAUUUUAAAUGCACCUCUUCUGACAGGGAGAUUAUAUUUCAUGGUUGUUUGAAGCCAUUUGGUUUCAAGGUUUAAAAGCGUGGAGAGAGUUUGAAGAAAUUGAGAAAGUAAGUGAAAGGUUCAACAACAAUUUUUGUUACGUAGAAAAUCACUUCUUUUUGGGAAAACUUUGCAGUACUAAUCUCCAAAAUUAAACUUCAUUUGGAACUUGUAUUCUUUCUAUGUAUGUGCCUUUAUUUUGCUUGUUUGUUUACCAUAUAAAUAAUUUUACAUUAUCAUUGAUGUAGUGUGGCCUUUUAUGGCCAAGUACACGAGUUGUGGCUAAAUGUAAUGACCCUUCAGUUCCUGUUUUUUUUAUUUUUUUAUUUUUUUUUAUUUUUAGUUUUCGUAUAUUUCUGGUGUUCCGAGCUUUCUCACAGUAGCUACAGGCUAUUUAUGACUUGCCAAAUUUUUUGAUUCGAUUAUCUGAUAGUUCGUUUGAAUUUUAUGCUAAAUUCCCUAUUUUGGAACUUUCGCGGUUAAGAAAUUGGUCUCGAACAAAAAAAUCCUAGUAAAUCGCCUUGAAUGAGAAUUCUGACGGCGCUAUCAACUUUGAAACAUUGAUUUUAGGUUAGGGAAACCCUUGGUUCAGGUCUCGAGGCUUCUGAACUCAUAUUGGGUUUUUGGGUAAAGUUUGGUUUAAAUGGAACUAGGGACCCACAUUUAAUCAAAAUAAUCUCAGAUGAAAGUUUCAACGGUUUAACGUCAAAUUUGAUAUGGUAGCAUAGUUUAUUUGCGCACACGAAAUUCCGUACGAAUUUCAAACAGCCGAUUGGAGUCCGUGAGGACUUAAGCUUUUGAUGCUUUUCCAGCUUCUAGUGCAUGCCCAUUUUACUCUUCACGAUCGUGAGGAAUUGGCUGCGUUCUCGAAGGGUCAAGACAUUGACCAUUGCGUUCGCGAACCUCUCUCUCGUGUUCGCGAUGAAGGCUGCCAACGCAACUCAUUCUUUUUCUUUGCGAUCGCGACUACUAAUGUCACAUUCGCGAUGACCUCUUUGCCUUUGUAUUCGUGAUGCCUUGCUCAUGUUUACAAAAGGAUCUUUUGAUGGGCAUCACAAUCGCGACUAGGGCCCCCCGAAUUCGUGAUGGGAAACCCCUAGGCCUAUAAAUUGAUUUAUUUUCUGAUUUUCUCUCAUUUUCAUGCCCCAAAAUUCACCCUUAUUGAACCCUAGAGAUCAAUAAAAGUGGGAAACUGAUUAGGCGACACUGGAAUAUAUAGAGGAUGUUGAGGUGAUCAUUUUCCAUUGAUUUUUUCAUAAGUUCUCGGCUUAUUUCUCCAUUUAAUUCUUGUUUUCGCUCUUAGUUUGCCAUCUCUCGGGACUGAUUUGAGCCCUGAUUUGUACUCCAUUUAUGCUCAACUUUUUAGCAUAUAUUCUUUGUUCUUCGAGGGAUCUCGUGGAGAAUUCAAUUUUAGAAUUCUAUUAGCAGGCCCCAUGAGCCCAUUAUUGACUUGAUUAUGGAUCCAAAGUUUUAUAUAGCAAUAUGGGUAUAGUUUUACUCCUAUUAAUAUGUAGACUAUUAUUUUAAUAGUGCAAUAUCAUUUUGAGAUCGUGAAGCAAAGAUGAGCAGUUCGUGGGCGAUUCAAGAAUUGCGGUUCGGCAUCAAGGUAGACUUUGGUCUACUUUUCUUCAUGAGAUUGUGUAUAAUACAGAUUGCAUGCUAGGUAGAGAUUAUAGGAUGGAUUGAUGAGUAGUAUAUCAUUACUUAAUCUAUUUAGAAAAUUUGGGAUAAAAAUGACUCGAACCUUAGCCUAGAAUACUUGAUAUAGCCUUAGACUCAUUUAUCGUUGUUUAUGGACUUGUUUACGCAUAGAUUGAUAUUACAAAUUCUUUAAUAUAAGACUUACCACUUGGCUUAGUGAUUUGAGUGGUAUUUUCCUGAUUAAUUAUUUUAGUGAUUUUAUCUCGUGAUUACUGUAGUUUCUUGAGUUAUGAUGCUUUAUGUUGAUUAUGUAUUGUUGGUCCCGAGGUCGUGCUUAUGAUGCCAGUUGGACACCAGAUUAGUACUUUAUCCUUAGGAAGGACGUGGUUAUAGUUAUGAAUGUGUAGCCACCUAUGGUCGUAUUGUUUGAAUAAUGGUGAUGGCAUGCACUUUUAGGCACAUUUAUGACUCCUUAGAGGUACAUUUCCAACCCAACCCUUGAUUUUACUACUAUUUUCUAAAAAGGAAUUUAUUCUCACUUUUCACUUUAAUAAGGGAUUCUUUUACAAACGAGAACUGUACCACCUUAUUUAAUGAAUGAUGAGUUUUGAAACUAAAUGUGAUAUUUUGAAAAUUAGAUCGAGAUUGAUUUUGGUCCAUUACUAUUUCACUAUUUUACUACUGCUAUUUACUUCGGCCGAGAGAGAUUCUGACCCUUUUUAUUCUAUUAUUAGAUUUAGUUCUCGGGCAAUGAAUUUACAGAUUUACACUCUUUAUAUAUAUAUAUUGGUUAUGAUAGUUAUUGAAAGUCCUGGUUUGGAACCAAAUAGUGUAUAUGGAUAUUCCAAGUCCCUAUGGGCCCUUCAUUCGUGAGUUACAGUGACGGAGAAGGAUGGCCGCCAUAGGUCCUACCUUUACGAGUUACUGAGCUGAAGGGGGUGUAUAUCUUGGUAUAUUGUGGAACUUGUAUUGUACAUGAUAUUACCGAUUUAUGCUCCAUUCAUUUAUUCAUAUGCAUUGCCUAUCACUAGUAUAAUUGUUUGAUACUCAUACCUAUCGACCUUAUGGAGAUUUGUAUAGAUAUAAGUUAUGAUUGUUAUUUAUUGAGUGCAUGCGUGCAUCUUCCGAGCUUAUGGGGUCCGGUUAGGUUAUUAUUUAUCUGGACUAUUUGGUUACUUUAUUGUUGAUUAUUCUGGUUAGUCAGUGGCAAGAUGAUUAUGGGAUGAUUUUUGAGGUUGUCGAUAUAUUUUUUAUUCCUUUUCUUUCUUAUGAUAUUUUAAUGUUAGAUUAUCUCAUGUUUAGUCAUCCUUUUGUUAGAGACCCUAUUAUUUUAGUAUUAGCUUUCUUUUUUGGUUGUGAUCCUUGAGAGGUUAGAUUGGUUCCCUUAGGUUAUUACUCUGGGUUUAGUCACACACACACACAAAUAUAUAUAUAUAUAUAUAUAUAUAUAUAUAUAUAUAUAUAUGAUAUUAUCGUAUAUUCCUCUCUUUCCUUAUUUAUUCAUGCUGUGUAUGUAUCUUUUGACCUUGUAUUACUACUAUAUAUCUUUCCUUCACUCUUCAUUUGUAUAUUGGCUAGCGAUAUACGGUGUUGUACUUUAAUUCCUUAAUACUGAUAGAAUAUGAUAAUUUAUCCUUAUUGAGCCAUUAACAUUAUACUGUUUAGUUUUCUUAGAUAGUUAUUUUUAGUUUAUAUUUAUCUUUUGCAUGUUAUUUAUGCUUGCAUUAUCUUUGGAGCUCAAUCAGUCGAUGCCUAUUGAGUACCAUGUGUUUGGUACUCAUACUACACUUCUAAAGCCUGCAGAUAAUAGUACGAGUUCUCGCUGUUGAUGUAUGCAUUGUGUGAAACAGCUAUGGAUCAAUGAUUUGGAUGAGCUCCUAAUGUUCGGAAUAUUUCUGCUCUCCCUCGUAUUAAUUGAACUUAUCUUUAUUUUGUAUUUUGUAUAUGGUUUGUUUAUUUGUAUUUUCUAUGUAUUUCAUUUUGUACUCCCAUUGUAUUAGAAGCUCUUGUACUAACUUCACCAGGAUUUAAUGGCGAGAGCCAUGUCGCCAAUGACGAAUGACAAGGCAAGACAAGGUAGUGUCGCCUCCUACCUGUGUGGCAAUGCAACCUGUAAAAGGCGACGCCAAGGCAAGGAUGGCGAUGCCAUUUUAUUUGUUUUUUAAAAAAAUAGGAUUUUAAGGAUAAAAGGCAAUUUUAGGAUUUUUUUUCCAUUUUUCUUUGACUGACUCACUUCUUGGCGACUGCGACAAGCCCUAAGGCAACUGCGAGUCUACGACUGUGAAAGAUUCCAACGACUGGCAACGGUGACUCCGGCGGCAGCGACUGGUAAGUGUCGUUUCUCUUAUUUUUUUCUACUUUCUUCUUCUUAUUUUCUCCGCUGGUCAGUAUAUAGUCUAUUGAUUUCUUCUUGAUUUUUUUCUUCUCCUUCUUUCUUCUUCCUCUGUUUUUCUUCACAGAGAGUAACAUUGUAACACAGUAAAUAGUUAUACUCCAUAUGUAAAAAGUAUUUCCUAAUAUAUUCCUACUAUUGAGAUUUUGAUAAUUUAUAUAUGCGAUUAAUUAUUUAUAUUUUUUUGGUUUUAACUAUCGCUGCACUUUCUAAAGGCGCUCGCCUCAUGGCCUUUUCUUCUUUUGUUGCCUUUUGCCUUCCAAAAUAUUGAUUCUAUAUUAAUAUUUUAAUUAUAUCAAUUUUUGCCAUUUUUUUCAUUUCUCUUGAUAGUUGUUACUAGCCGUUUUGAAUUAUGGGUUGGCUUACCUACUGGUAGGUUAUAGUAGGUGACAUCAUGGCCAACAAAAUCAGACCGUGACACUAAAAGCAUCUGAAUUAAGCAAAUUCAAUAAAAUUUAAAGAUUCUUUUUCUUUUAUUUCUCAACAUUCUAAUCCAUCAAUUAUUUAAAAAAAAUUGAAAUUUAUUUUAUGUGAUAUAAUUGUAUUAAAUCAUUAUGCAAACAUUUAUAAUUUGAAAAUAUUUUCUUAUUAAAAAUAAGAUAAAAACUAAUAGUAAUUAUAGAAUUACUAAUAAAUUAAAUUUUGAUCGAUCGAUUACUCUUCCAGCACCAAAUGAGUUAUUUAAGAUUAUUAUUAUCACAGUUUUUGUAACAUCCCAUACUUUCGACUAGUAUUUGAAUCAUUCUUUGUACGAGUGUAGGCCCCAAACUUGAUGAUCUCUAAUUGAAUUAAAGUUUUAAGGUCAAUUACAUUGUGUGGUGACUGCUUUUGAUUUAAAUCAUGGCCAUAAGAAACAUCUAGGGUAAAGUCAAAUUGAGAGCAUUUUGAUUAAUUGUGUUUUAUAGUAUACUUUCUUACAUGGUGCAACUUCAAUCGAACAUUUAUGCUAGAAUAUAUAGAGUUACGUGGUUCAUUACAUAUCAAAUUAAAAAUCUUUGAGUCUUCUUUCCAACGCCAUCGACCAUUUAUAAAUUAGAGUCUGUAGCAAAAAACUUAUGAGCUUUCCAAUAGAGGUCCACGAGUCACAGAGCUAUCUCCCGAUAUCACCAUGUCACGGAUCUGUAUCUCCUCGAUCAUAUCGUGCCAUGGAGAUGAUGUCCAACAAUAUUUCACUUAUUUUUAUGCAUUUUUAAGGUCCUUUUGAUUCUUUUUCUUAUUUAAAAUGUCCCCCCUCCCCCCCGCGUACAAAACAUUUCCAGAUUCCUAAGUUACAAAUCGCUCGACCAGAAUAUGUUACUCUCCUUCUCAAAGGUUCCAAGAAUCAAGAACACCUAGGGUUCAAGCCUUAAGGUUCUCCCAUAAGAUUCCUUGCUAAGUUCUUCGUCAAAAGAUAUGUAGAACAAGCCUUAUGAAAUCAAUUUUCAAAUAAUGAUUUAGGGUUGCAAAUUAUAUUAUGAAAUUAUGAGAGAGUGCUUGAACGUGAAAACCCUAUUUGUUGAAAUUUCUUUUGGUUACUUGAUGAAUAGAAUUGAAGGAUGUCACUUUAACUAUGGUAUUUUCCUUUUUUUAGGUGGAUAAUACAAUAUUUUUUGAGAAAAUGCACUGUUUUCAUGUUAAACUAUACACGAAAUUGCUGAGAUACACCCAAACUUUAGGAGGAUCCUAUUACCCCCUGGACUAAUUAAAAUCGUAUUUUUGACAAACUUAACGCAUACGUGGCACAUACGUGGACCUUCAGUGUGUUGAUUCACUGAUGUGCCACAUAUGCACCACGUAGGCACUAUGGUUGCCAAAAAUAUGGUUUUAGUUAGUCCAGGGGGGAGGGAGGGUAAUAGGACCCUCAUAAAGUUCGGGUGUUUCUCAACAAUUUCGUGUAUAGUUUUGGAUGGAAAUAUAUCAUUUUCUCAUAUUUUUUUGGUCAAAAUUUUUACUACUUGAUAAGCUUCGUGGUUUACUAAAAUUAUGAUGAAAUAAGAUGAAUUGACCUAUGCUUAGUUGUUUAUACAAGCUUUUGAGAAAAUUGUGGCUCUUAGAUGGUUAAUGGUUUUCAUAAUGGAUUUAAAUGGUUUUUAAAGAGAGUUUUAUAUGAUCCUCAAAGGUUACUUAUAUAUGUUCAACCUUAUUUUGGUGGGGCGAAAGAGAUGACAUAUUUGACUUGCAAGUUUUGGUAUAACGAUAAUAAUUAAAAGAAUGCCCCUGAGAUUAUGAAAUAUUUCUAGAUAAUGAUUUUUUAUUUAAGAGAAAAGAUAUAAAGACACUAUUGAACUUGUCCGAGAUUUGCAAAAAAAUACUUUAACUUUGUGGGUGACCUAUUACCCUCCUAAACAAUUUUAAAGUAGUAUAAAUAGGACAUUUUUUGUUCAAUCUCAGUUGCAAGAAAGAGAGGAUUAUCACGCACCAAUCAACAUCUUACACGUGUUAAAUUUACUUAAUCUUACACUUUAUUUAUGUUUUUGGUACUUUACUAUUUUUCUUUUUCCUUAUCAUUUUUUUCUCCUCCUUUAUUCUUCUUCAUCUUCUUAUUCAAAUUUCAACUGGUGUGCAUAUAAUUUCUAGAACUUUAAAUUCUUUCGAUUUCAGUUUUGUUCUUCUUUUUCAAAAUUCUACAUUCUUUUUUUUCUUGAUAAUUUGGUUGAUUUACGUGUUUGUUGGUCAAUUGUGUUGAUUUUUUCAUAUUUUUUUUUUUUAGAUUUGCGGCUUUGCGGAGAUUGAAAUUGGACAAGCUGAAUUUGUUUUGGAGAAGGUGAUUAUUACGAUUUGGUUAUGUCUACUGUGGUGUGGUUUUGACUGUGAGAAAGAAUUUUGAAAACCAAAAUUGUCAUAAUAAUGAGACCGAAACUUCAUUAAAAUAGAGCUUUAUAGUUCUUUUUAGAGAGGAUAUAUAACAACGACAAAAAUUAAAAACUAAAAAUCAAAAUAUACACAACAAUCAAAUAUCAAGAAAUAGAUUUAAGAAGAAAAAAACUUCAAAAGUAAUGUUGAAAGAAAAUAACAGGAAAAAGAAAAGCAAGAAUGUAUCAGGAAAAAGAAAAAGAAGAAUGGAAUGGUGAAUUUCAUUUAAGAAGACAGUGAGGAAAAAAAUUAAAAUAAAUUAAAUUAAAAAAAAAAGUAUAUUAUUAAAUAAAUGCUGAAAGAAAUAAAAAAUAUAAAAAAAUUCCUUCCUUCACUCUCUAUUAGAGAGUAUACUACACUCUCCAUGUCAUGUAGACAAAAGGGUCUAUUAAUAUUGGUUUGAAAUUGUUUAGAGGGUAAUAGAUCGCCCGCCAAGUUAAAGUAUCUUUUUGCAAACCUCAGACAAUGAUACGGGUAUGACCACGAGGAUGCAUGUAUGUGAUAAUGAAUUGAACCCGUACAAUAAAGCGUCCAAGUGAAGUGUGGAGAAGAGCUUGGAUCACACCAAAACCGACCCUAAAAUUGCACUCCAAGGGCGCCCUUGGUCACAUUUUAUUAAAGGAACCUUUUGGUCAUUUUACCUAUUAUUUGUAACACACUAUUAAUAGAAUGAUGUAGGGUUUUAGUCAUUAGUUUUUGUUAAAUAUUGAAGUUGUAACACUUGAAACUCACUCUCUUGUGAGAAAGGCCCCCAUGGCCGAAACUUGUAACUAGGGAAAUCAACAUUGAGUGUGGAUUCACUCAUGUUGGACUCAAGCUUGGAAACGUUGGAUGCUUGGGAGAUCGAGGUCACUCUUUUGCCAACGUAAGAGUUAGGUAUUUGUUGUGUGUGAUGUUAAAGGUCCAAGAGUGGAAUAGGAUUUUGGGUUUUUAAGAUUAUACCUUCAAUUUUUCUAACUAUUUAUUCUUUUACCUUUUUGUAAUCUUGUUUAGUGUUUGUGUUGUAAUCUUGUGUUCUUUUUGUUAUUGUUAAAUCCAAAUCUUGUGUCUUCUUAUUCAUCAUCUUAUGUUGUUAAUCUAGUUUUAUGUCUUCUGAUUUGGUGUAAUAAAUACCUUAUUAUCUUCUUGUUAUUGUGUUCUUGGGAAGCCAAGACUUGUCUCCAAAAGGGUUCACGGAUUUCUUCCAUUUUGUGGACUAUUUUUGGACUGAUUUUGUAUUUUCGUUAUUUUUCUCGUAUCAUUUGGUAGCAAAGCAUGGAUUGAUCUUGUUCCUACAAGAUCAAUCUUGGGCUUGCUUGAUAUAAAAUAUAAAAAAAAAAGGCAUUAGAAAACUGAAAAAUAAAAAAGAAACAAAUCUGUCCAUUUUGUGUUCUUGGCCAAAAUUGUGUUAUUGCUGUGUCUUGGCCGAGAUUCUUACUUGUUUUGUUGUUUCUAGUGUUAGUUUUCUUCAUCUCUAACACUCUUGAGUCUAAAUCUAACUUUGAGCUUACAUUGUUGGUGUUGUUUUCGUGAACAUAAGGCUUGGCCGAAUUGUUGUUGAAAAAUUAUUGUAGUGGACUGUUUUGGCCUUAUGGUCUUCAUCUUGUUGUUGUUCUAAGCUUGAACACAUGAUAUUGUUGUUCAUUGGGGGCCUAAGAAUCAUUUUACUGAAAUUUUAGUUGUCUUGGCCAAGUGUUGAAGAUAUUGUAUUGUGAAAAUUAGAAGUUGGCCGUGUGAAAAUUGUGGUAUUUUUGGAGAUCGUUGUUGGUUGUUCUUGGUGAUUGUUGAUGUUGUUCUUGAAGUUCUUCACAACCUUCAUAGCUUGUUAAUAUAAAAUGAGCAUUAGAUCUAUAAAGGUGAAGGAAAAAAGGGUGAAGCUUUGUUAGUCUUGAAAGACUUCCCAUCACUCAUCAAAUAGUCAAUCACAUCUCAACCACAUUCCAACAACUUUCCAUGAAACAAGGAUCCAUGUUAUAAGGUGAAGUACAAGAAAGUCAAAGUCUUGAAAACUUGACUUUGAAAAGGCUCCAAGACUUGUUUGAAUUUACCUCCUUAAAAUAAAUUCCACCAAUUCCUAAAUUAUAAAUUGACCAAGACUUGAAAUUGGACAACAAAAAAAAAAUUGUUAGAAAUCGCAACCAAUUAUGUGUUGCCACAUCAUCAUUGUUACUGUUCAUGCAACAUAUUUAAGCUUAAAUUUCAGAUUUCUUAGUUUCCUUUUGUUGUUUCUUAGUUUCAAUUUCGUUGGUUCCAAUACUAAUUAGCAAACUAGUACUCAUCUACUAGAUUGUUAGUUAGUCUUUGUGUUCAUUCAUGCGUGUUAAACGUUUGUUGAGUGCUUUUCUCUUUUGUGAAUUCAUUGUAUCUUGUUGGUUCAAGUCCGUAAAUAAAUUUUCUUUGAGUCAGCCCAAACGAAAAUCCAUUCCGGACAAGAGUAGACUUGACACUCAAUCACUCACAAAGUACAAGCUGAUUUUCAACACUUGUGAAACCAAGUGUGAGGUAAAACCGAGAGUGAGAGUGUGGUGAGGCAUUUUGAACUAACAAGUUUGUUUUGUUGUUUGUUGUUGUCCUUUGCUUUGGGUACUAUGGCUGUCACUAAUCUUAAUGCCACAUUUGAUCGCAUCAAUGACGAUAUUGAAGAAAUGAACUGGCAUGUGGAAAGGCUACGCCAAUUGUUACCUAAACUUAUCCUACAAAAUCUAACUUCCCUUGUCCAAACACCUUGUGCCGAAAGCUUUCUGAAGGAAGAGGUGGGCUACCCCGACCCACACCAAGGUAAAGAGGAGAUUGAAACAUCUUUGGUACCUAAUAGUGAACUUAUAGAGAGCGAAGCACUUGCUAGUUCCAAAUCUGUCUGUGAGAUAGAUCACGCUUUCUUUAGGUUUAAUGUUUUGUUUGAAGAUGAUAUAAACACUCCUAAUGAACCUAGUGGUGAAAAUGAUGGUAUAGCUUGCCUUGAAGGCUAUAGCCGAUAUGCUAACCCACUAUGGUUGAUAACAUUUCUCCUAAAGAUGGAAAUCUCUUCUUGAAAGAUGAGUGUACUCUUAUGGGCAAAAAAUGUGUAGUCUCGGAAAUGAGUACUCUUGGUAGUACUCUUAGGGUGAAUUAUGAUCAAUUUACUCUCAUAUGUAGUUCACUACUUGAGCAUGUGAAUAGUGUGCUUAAAAAUUCUCAAGUUAGUGAUGAUCUCUAUAGAAUUAAUCUUUAUAAUGAACAUGACUCUUUGAACAUCUUGUGUGGUAAAAGCAUUACAAUUAGUUUUGUUCAUAGAGAUCAUGUGUAUGAAAAUGUUUUGUGUGUGAGUAUGGGAGUGACAUUCUAGGGGAAGGGAG